RNAcentral lists this ribosomal RNA (253 nucleotides) under uncultured bacterium. RNAcentral's name for it is "partial 16S ribosomal RNA". It matches the Rfam family "Bacterial small subunit ribosomal RNA", at positions 524 to 776 of the family's 1533-position model. The record is from RNAcentral.
UACGUAGGGGGCAAGCGUUGUCCGGAAUUAUUGGGCGUAAAGAGCGUGUAGGCGGUCCGGUAAGUCGGCUGUGAAAGUCCAGGGCUCAACCCUGGGAUGCCGGUCGAUACUGCCGGACUAGCGUUCGGAAGAGGCGAGUGGAAUUCCCGGUGUAGCGGUGAAAUGCGCAGAUAUCGGGAGGAACACCUAUGGCGAAGGCAGCUCGCUGGGACGUUACUGACGCUGAGACGCGAAAGCGUGGGGAGCAAACAGG